UAUCUCUUGUCUUAGUGGACUUGGUCGGGG
RNAcentral lists this non-coding RNA (30 nucleotides) under Rattus norvegicus (Norway rat). The record is from RNAcentral. Lineage: Eukaryota; Metazoa; Chordata; Mammalia; Rodentia; Muridae.